UGUGCACACGGAGAGGGGAGAGUUGGU
RNAcentral lists this non-coding RNA (27 nucleotides) under Mus musculus (house mouse). The record is from RNAcentral. Lineage: Eukaryota; Metazoa; Chordata; Mammalia; Rodentia; Muridae.